Molecule: ribosomal RNA, 479 nt
Filed under: uncultured bacterium
Lineage: Bacteria
Description: SSU rRNA
Rfam family: Bacterial small subunit ribosomal RNA
Source: RNAcentral
AGGACGAACGCUGGCGGCGUGCUUAACACAUGCAAGUCGAACGGAAAGGCCCUUUCGGGGGUACUCGAGUGGCGAACGGGUGAGUAACACGUGGGUGAUCUGCCCUGCACUUUGGGAUAAGCCUGGGAAACUGGGUCUAAUACCGAAUACACCUUGCUGGCUGCAUGGCCUGGUGGGGGAAAGCUUUUGCGGUGUGGGAUGGGCCCGCGGCCUAUCAGCUUGUUGGUGGGGUGAUGGCCUACCAAGGCGACGACGGGUAGCCGGCCUGAGAGGGUGUCCGGCCACACUGGGACUGAGAUACGGCCCAGACUCCUACGGGAGGCAGCAGUGGGGAAUAUUGCACAAUGGGCGCAAGCCUGAUGCAGCGACGCCGCGUGAGGGAUGACGGCCUUCGGGUUGUAAACCUCUUUCAGUAUCGACGAAGCGCAAGUGACGGUAGGUACAGAAGAAGCACCGGCCAACUACGCGCCAGCAGCCGC